GUUUGAUCGUCUUUCUUAGAUUCUGGUCUGUGUUGAGGAAUCUAACUCAUAUGGGAGACUACUCAGCCAACCUAUUGUUCCUCUUGAUGUCUGAGAAGAGAAGUUCUGCUGGAGAAAAACUAAUGACUUGCUAAAAAGAAAUAAUGAGAAUUCUGUGAAAUGACCUUCGUCAAAAUCCAUUUGUGUGGAAAAUGGCACACUGCAGUCUCUCAGCAGACCACUACAGCAUCCACACCACUGGGGACGACACACCAAUCAAUCCAUCGGUCUUGAUUUUCAUUCCUGCCACUUCAAACUCAGCUGUGAACCACUCCAGUGCAAGCUGGAGGGCAUGAAGCAGGCAUGGAGGAGAUCCUGGCCCCAGACAUCCAGAGUCCCCCAGAGUGCGAGAACCCAAGGAGAACCAACGGAGGGACAACCAUGCCACCCUCCUGGAAAGAACUGAGAGCCCCAGACGUGGGGUCACCCAGCAGCCACGGUG
This is a long non-coding RNA of Oreochromis aureus, 481 nucleotides long. RefSeq lists it as uncharacterized. NCBI's taxonomy places the organism in Eukaryota, Metazoa, Chordata, Actinopteri, Cichliformes, Cichlidae. The transcript is spliced from 4 exons. The record is from RefSeq and is a predicted model, not a curated record.